CAGGGAGACAACAAAAUGUUUAAUAUUAUUAUUUUGUCACCUUAGGUCGAUCGGUAUCUCACGUUCUUAAUUAAUUAAGAAUUUCAUUUCCUAAGUUUUUCUAGGUCACACCCAUUAUUUUUCCUGGGCCAUUAGCUCAGGUGGUUAGAGCGCACCCCUGAUAAGGGUGAGGUCCCUGGUUCAAGUCCAGGAUGGCCCAUAUCUCUAUGUUGGGGGUAUAGCUCAGUUGGUAGAGCGCCUGCUUUGCAAGCAGGAUGUCAGCGGUUCGAGUCCGCUUACCUCCACUGAUUACCACCUCUUCCAUAAUCUGUAGAAAGGAAAUUUUUUGAGUUGUGAUCAAAUUCUGAACGAAUCUAGCUUCCUAAUGAAAGCAUUAAGAUGCUGGACUCAUUGAAUUAAAUUCAUUGUUUUCAGAGAACCUUGACAACUGCAUAGAUUAUUUUUUAAAGACAAUAAGCAUCUUUAAUGAUGCAGAUUUAUUAUUUGUGCGAAUGCAUUAAUAACAAUUCUAUUAAGCUGAUGCUUCAAUUUUGAAGUUAUU
This 541-nucleotide transfer RNA is filed under the name uncultured cyanobacterium. RNAcentral describes it as "partial 16S-23S ribosomal RNA intergenic spacer". The stretch from base 212 to 284 matches the Rfam family "tRNA". RNAcentral also lists the same sequence under 1 other name. The record is from RNAcentral. Lineage: Bacteria; Bacillati; Cyanobacteriota.